AUUAUUAGUUGCCGAGCAAUCACAUAGGGGAUAUGAUUAGUCGUGAUAUGAGAAGAAAUCAAUGGCUCGGAGGAGGAGCGCUACGUAGACAAGACCUGGCCUCACUAAGGAUAUACAUAUAUGUUAAUAUCGGAAUUACUAAUAUCGGACCCCGCGAUUUUUCUACCACAUCACGUGGUGUAGUGCUUGCAUUAUAAACGCUCCUAUCAAGAUCGUCUGCCUUUACAACAGAGAUAAGACAGUCUUGAAAACAUCAAGCUUUUGUAAGUGGUUUGGAACUUCCACGACGCCAUAAUGACGGUGAUAGUGCUUUUGUUUUGUUCAAUCCUUAUGUCCAGUGUUUUGCUAUCCAACGCGAACUGGUACGGAAAAAGGGGAAGUGAAGUAGACGACGCCUUCCAGAGGUACUUAGAGGGCAGACUGGUGAAAUCUAUAGGCAGUCGACACAGCGACGAUAGGGAAAUCCUAUUCAAGAUAUCGAAAUUAUUGCAGGAAUGGCAGCUGAAAAACAAGGCAAAUGAGGUGGCGGAAGUGACAUCAUAUGACCGGAAGUGAAAAGUUGCGUCAAAUGAGAACCAAAAUCACCAAUGUCGUGGGGAUGAAGUCAGCAUGGAAGAUGUUCCAAAGCCAAUCGUUUUAUCCAUAUGGAGAUUCCAGAAGAUUUUAUUUUCAUAUUCAUGAACGUAUACAUAGAGUACUCACCAACAUGUGUCCGUGAAGACGGGAACAUGGUUUAUUACGUGUGUGUAUUAACGAUAAAAAAAAUCAGACAUUAUGUGAUUUUCUUAAAGUCAUUCUUAUAAAAAGUAGCAUAAUUACCAUUCGUAUAUACCUUUACAGAUAUGAGUUACCAGGUACAACAAAAACUUACAUGCAGAGAACACAUCAAUACACAAAUAAUAGGUAAACAAUAUAGCAGGGAACACACAGGUACAAUACGUAUUGGUAAAUAAAACAGAAAGGAACACACAGGUACAACAACAAUAGGUUCACAAUACAGUAGGGAACACAGGUUCAACAACAAUAGGUUAACAAUACAAUAGGAAACACACAGGUUCAACAAUACUGAACAGAACUUACCUGUGCAACACAAGAAGGUACAAGCACAUACGAAACACGCAUGAACAACAAUAGAUGGUUCCAAAAA
This is a long non-coding RNA of Mizuhopecten yessoensis (Yesso scallop), 1147 nucleotides long. RefSeq lists it as uncharacterized. Lineage: Eukaryota; Metazoa; Mollusca; Bivalvia; Pectinida; Pectinidae. The transcript is spliced from 3 exons. The record is from RefSeq and is a predicted model, not a curated record.